RNAcentral lists this ribosomal RNA (497 nucleotides) under uncultured bacterium. Its description in RNAcentral is "partial 16S ribosomal RNA". It matches the Rfam family "Bacterial small subunit ribosomal RNA", at positions 28 to 507 of the family's 1533-position model. The record is from RNAcentral.
GAUGAACGCUGGCGGCGUGCCUAAUACAUGCAAGUCGAGCGAACAGACGAGGAGCUUGCUCCUCUGACGUUAGCGGCGGACGGGUGAGUAACACGUGGAUAACCUACCUAUAAGACUGGGAUAACUUCGGGAAACCGGAGCUAAUACCGGAUAAUAUAUUGAACCGUAUGGUUCAAUAGUGAAAGUCGGUUUUGCUGUCACUUAUAGAUGGAUCCGCGCCGCAUUAGCUAGUUGGUAAGGUAACGGCUUACCAAGGCAACGAUGCGUAGCCGACCUGAGAGGGUGAUCGGCCACACUGGAACUGAGACACGGUCCAGACUCCUACGGGAGGCAGCAGUAGGGAAUCUUCCGCAAUGGGCGAAAGCCUGACGAAGCAACGCCGCGUGAGUGAUGAAGGUCUUCGGAUCGUAAAACUCUGUUAUUAGGGAAGAACAAAUGUGUAAGUAACUAUGCACGUCUUGACGGUACCUAAUCAGAAAGCCACGGCUAACUACGUG